AUUGAACGCUGGCGGAAUGCUUUACACAUGCAAGUCGAACGGUAGAGGGGGCAACCCCUUGAGAGUGGCGAACGGGUGAGUAAUAUAUCGGAACGUGCCCAGUCGUGGGGAUAACGUAGCGAAAGUUACGCUAAUACCGCAUACGAUCUACGGAUGAAAGCGGGGGACUCGCAAGAGCCUCGCGCGAUUGGAGCGGCCGAUAUCAGAUUAGGUAGUUGGUGGGGUAAAGGCUCACCAAGCCAACGAUCUGUAGCUGGUCUGAGAGGACGACCAGCCACACUGGAACUGAGACACGGUCCAGACUCCUACGGGAGGCAGCAGUGGGGAAUUUUGGACAAUGGACGCAAGUCUGAUCCAGCCAUUCCGCGUGCAGGAUGAAGGCCCUCGGGUUGUAAACUGCUUUUGUACGGAACGAAAAGGUUUCUAUUAAUACGAGGAGCUCAUGACGGUACCGUAAGAAUAAGCACCGGCUAACUAACGU
This 481-nucleotide ribosomal RNA is filed under the name uncultured bacterium. RNAcentral's name for it is "bacterial SSU rRNA". It matches the Rfam family "Bacterial small subunit ribosomal RNA", at positions 30 to 506 of the family's 1533-position model. The record is from RNAcentral.